RNAcentral lists this long non-coding RNA (859 nucleotides) under Equus caballus (horse). Its description in RNAcentral is "lncRNA (ENSECAG00000049992.1)". The record is from RNAcentral. Lineage: Eukaryota; Metazoa; Chordata; Mammalia; Perissodactyla; Equidae.
GUAAGGGUGAACCCUCUGGCAGUGGAUAUGUGCAGGUGCACAUGCAGGUGCAUGCUGUGGCCUGCAUCCUUCCAUGGGUCCUGCAGGUCAGCGUUGAUGUGCCUGGCUCUGUCCCUGAAGGGGUCUGCCCUGUGACCCCAAGAUAGGACUGCCUCUAUGCUUCUGUCCGGCUUUGGUUAAUUAGGGACUUCAAUGCCUGGAUCCACAGGCUGAAUGUGCCUGACCCGGCCAUGGCUUCAGACCGGUGGUUGGAAGAAGCCCCUCUCCAUCCUGAGAGACAGUUUUCCAAACACAAGAAACCAGAAAACCUUAUCAGGAACUCAUUUUUAGACUUAUCUUUGAUUAUGGAAAAUGCUUUUUAAAAAAUCUCAAAUGAAGUAAUUUUAAAGGAUACACAUAUUCUUACAUUUGUGUAAAUAUUUUAAACACAAUAUUACAUUUUUUAAAGAGAUAGAUGCCUAAUACUGCAGAAUCAUGCGUGGUAAUGAUAUACACCAACUUUAACAUGAGUACCACAUAAGAGGGAGAUGGAGGAAUGUGUAAGGAUGAGACGUUAACCUGUGAAGCUUUAAGUUAAUGCAAUGAGAGAUCUACAGCCAAUAUGUAAACUUAUUGUCAUCAGUUGAAUCUGAAUACUGGCUACAUAAUGAUUGUAAGAUUUUGGAAUUCUCUUUACAUUUUAAAACUCAUAAUUAAAAAGAAAUAAGUAUAUCUUCAGUUUUACACAUUAUAGCUUGAAUUAAAUAUGCCACGUAGACAUCUCAAUGGAAGCAGAAGAAAUUAUUUUAUAAAAUAAAACGCAAAUUAGAAAUUAAAAAUUCUGGGUAAAUAAGUGGAGAAUUAUAUUUUAGCACUGGAG